UGCUCAAUGAUAUUUAUUAAAUAGCCGCAGUAUUUUGACUGUGCGAAGGUAGCAUAAUCAUUUGUCUUUUAAUUGAAGGCUUGUAUGAAUGGUUGGAUGAGAAAAUUGCUUUCUUUAUAUUAUGUUAUGAAUUUAAUUUUUAGGUUAAAAAGCUUAGAUUUUUAAAUGGGACGAGAAGACCCUAUAGAAUUUUAUUAAUUUACUCUAAUAUGAUCUUUGGGUAUAUAUAAUUUUAUUAGAUUCAAUUAAUUUUGUUGGGGUGAUGGGAAGAUAAUUUYACACUCUUUUAUUGUUUUUUUAUUGAUGAGUAUAUUUAUGAUCCUUUAUUUAGGAUAGACUAG
Molecule: ribosomal RNA, 341 nt
Filed under: Mayrinia curvidens
Lineage: Eukaryota; Metazoa; Arthropoda; Insecta; Hemiptera; Pentatomidae
Description: partial large subunit ribosomal RNA
Source: RNAcentral